CUAAGAGGCUUUCUGGCUUGGCUAUCAAGACCUGGGAUGAGUAGGUAGCCUUUUGAGGAAGGCUGAGUCACUUACAUAUUUGUGCACAGGGAUCCAGGCUCUGAGAACCAGAUCGCAGAUGGUUGUAAAUAGUGAAAUGGAUGUGAGGGUGUCAGGGCUGCUGGCUCUGGUAGGGGAGAAGGAAUGCUGAGUCAGUUGAUGGUCGAAGAUUCUGAUGAGUGUUGCGAAUUACCGGUUUGGCACAGGACCUGGAAUGGCUUUGUACCAAGUCACUGAUGGAAGAGGGAAAAAAAAAACCAAAAUGCUGGGACCAGCAGAGUGACUCAGACACAGUGACAGUGUUGACCCAUUUCAGUAGACUGUGACACUUCAGCGACCUGCAGAUUCUGCACCUUAGAGUUCAUGCUUUACACAAACUCCAUGCACACCCAAGACAUGGAUCCAGAAGCAAGUCCACAACCCAACAAAAGAUGCCUGUGUCAUUGGUGUCAUGCCUAUUUUCCUCACCACCCCCCCAAGGGACAUCUGUCAGGACCCUGCAACACCUGUGCUCCUUGCAUUGUUCUGCAGUCACCCUUGUUGUGUCACUUCACUGGUUAAAAUGACCACGAGAGCA
This 616-nucleotide long non-coding RNA is filed under the name Cricetulus griseus (Chinese hamster). RNAcentral's name for it is "lncRNA (ENSCGRG00015042708.1)". Lineage: Eukaryota; Metazoa; Chordata; Mammalia; Rodentia; Cricetidae. The record is from RNAcentral.